GAUUCUGUCUUCACCUCACGGACCAAUUAACCCAGCAACGCACAGCAGCGACGACGUCACUCAGCUUCGGACUGUCAACAGCGCUUCUGUAUGGAACACUCUUACGAACACCAGAGCUACCAGUCCCUCCUGACGUCCAGAUCCAGAACCUCACCACUACCUUGUACUUUCAAAAUAAAACCUGUAAAACUG
Molecule: long non-coding RNA, 192 nt
Organism: Austrofundulus limnaeus
Lineage: Eukaryota; Metazoa; Chordata; Actinopteri; Cyprinodontiformes; Rivulidae
Exons: 2
Source: RefSeq, a predicted model, not a curated record